GUUUGCAGUGUGGAUGACCCUCCAUCGUGCUUCCCUUCAGGGGGCCUGUUGCUGGACAGAUGCAUCUUCAGUGCUCCAAGCAACCGUGUGACCAGACCCUGUCCUCACGGGCCUCUCCGUUGUGAUAAAGACGUUAAAGACCCAGCUAAGGAUGUGGAAGGCACAUCAGACCUGGUAAAGCCCUUCCACUGUGAGAUUCUAGUCCUCUGCACAAAUGAAGAACGUCUGAUUGCAAUCACCCUGCAACGGUCUAUUUAUUCCUGGACGUCUUCUUCCCUGACUCCAUUUCCAGGCUAGUGAACUCUUGCUUGUGGGUAAAAUAUACCCUCUUGAAAAUGUUAUAUAUAUAUAUA
This 353-nucleotide long non-coding RNA is filed under the name Mustela putorius furo (domestic ferret). RNAcentral's name for it is "lncRNA (ENSMPUG00000024998.1)". Lineage: Eukaryota; Metazoa; Chordata; Mammalia; Carnivora; Mustelidae. The record is from RNAcentral.